AGCAGCCGCGGUAAUUCCAGCUCCAAUAGCGUAUAUUAAAGUUGUUGCAGUUAAAAAGCUCGUAGUUGAAUUUCGGGAUCAAUAUAUCGGUCGUGCCUUGGUACGUACUGGUAUCAUUGGUCUCUCCUUUCUGACGAACCAUGAUGUCAUUAAUUUGGUGUUAUGGGAAGUUAGGACUGUUACUUUGAAAAAAUUAGAGUGUUUAAAGCAGGCUUUGGCUUGAAUACAUUAGCAUGGAAUAAUGAAAUAGGACGUUCGAACCUAUUUUGUUGGUUUCUAGGAUCAACGUAAUGAUUAAUAGGGAUAGUUGGGGGCAUUAGUAUUCAAUUGUCAGAGGUGAAAUUCUUGGAUUUAUUGAAGACUAACUACUGCGAAAGCAUUUGCCAAGGAUGUUUUCAUUAAUCAAGAACGAAAGUUAGGGGAUCGAAGACGAUCAGAUACCGUCGUAGUCUUAACCAUAAACUAUGCCGACUAGGGAUCGGAUGAUGUUAAUUUUUUAAUGACUCAUUCGGCGCCUUAC
RNAcentral lists this small RNA (520 nucleotides) under uncultured Glomus. Its description in RNAcentral is "SSU rRNA". It matches the Rfam family "Eukaryotic small subunit ribosomal RNA", at positions 569 to 1091 of the family's 1831-position model. The record is from RNAcentral. Lineage: Eukaryota; Fungi; Glomeromycota; Glomeromycetes; Glomerales; Glomeraceae.